UACGAAGGGGGCUAGCGUUGCUCGGAAUCACUGGGCGUAAAGCGCACGUAGGCGGCUUGUUAAGUCAGGGGUGAAAUCCUGGGGCUCAACCCCAGAACUGCCUUUGAUACUGGCGAUCUCGAGUCCGGAAGAGGUGAGUGGAACUCCUAGUGUAGAGGUGGAAUUCGUAGAUAUUAGGAAGAACACCAGUGGCGAAGGCGGCUCACUGGUCCGGUACUGACGCUGAGGUGCGAAAGCGUGGGGAGCAAACAGG
This 253-nucleotide ribosomal RNA is filed under the name uncultured bacterium. RNAcentral describes it as "partial 16S ribosomal RNA". It matches the Rfam family "Bacterial small subunit ribosomal RNA", at positions 524 to 776 of the family's 1533-position model. The record is from RNAcentral.